UAAGUCCCUGUCUGGUAAGGCUUAACCAGCCACCAGUAUCGAGUGUUGCGCCUGUGGCGGAGUUUCACUGAAACGAACAAUACAGGUGAAGCGUACACAGAGAAUCAUAUAGGCCAUAGGGGCUAUCGUGGCCCUGAAGUGCUGGUAUCGCUCCGAGAAUUACCAUCUGACUGACGAGGUUUGUAACGCCACCGAAGUCCAUGCAAAGUAGCCGUUAUUCAUAGCAAACGAAAGGUGAGGCUACGGCGAGUCAGCGGGGUUAUCAAGCC
Thalassomonas actiniarum is the source of this 269-nucleotide non-coding RNA. The record is from Rfam. Lineage: Bacteria; Pseudomonadati; Pseudomonadota; Gammaproteobacteria; Alteromonadales; Colwelliaceae.